Molecule: ribosomal RNA, 427 nt
Filed under: uncultured prokaryote
Description: bacterial SSU rRNA
Rfam family: Bacterial small subunit ribosomal RNA
Source: RNAcentral
CUAAGAAUAUUCCGCAAUGGACGAAAGUCUGACGGAGCGACGCCGCGUGGAUGAAGAAGGCCGCAAGGUUGUAAAAUCCUUUUGCUGGGGAAGAAUAAGUCCAGGAGGGAAUGCCUGGAUGAUGACAUGAACCGGCCAAUAAGCCCCGGCCAACUACGUGCCAGCAGCCGCGGUAACACGUAGGGGGCUAGCGUUGUUCGGAAUUACUGGGCGUAAAGGGCAUGUAGGCGGUUUAGUAAGCUUGGCGUGAAAGACCACAGCUCAACUGCGGGGUUGCGUUGGGAACUGCUGAACUUGAGUUACGGAGAGGGAGCUAGAAUUGCUGGUGUAGGGGUGGAAUCUGUAGAGAUCAGGAAGAAUACCGGUGGCGAAGGCAAGCUUCUGGCCGAUAACUGACGCUGAGGUGCGAAAGUGUGGGGAUCAAACA